This 247-nucleotide ribosomal RNA is filed under the name uncultured bacterium. RNAcentral's name for it is "partial 16S ribosomal RNA". It matches the Rfam family "Bacterial small subunit ribosomal RNA", at positions 86 to 334 of the family's 1533-position model. The record is from RNAcentral.
AGAUGGCGACCGGCGCACGGGUGAGUAACACGUAUCCAACCUGCCGAUAACUCGGGGAUAGCCUUUCGAAAGAAAGAUUAAUACCCGAUGGUAUAAUCAGACCGCAUGGUCUUGUUAUUAAAAAAUUUCGGUUAUCGAUGGGGAUGCGUUCCAUUAGGCAGUUGGUGAGGUAACGGCUCACCAAACCUUCGAUGGAUAGGGGUUCUGAGAGGAAGGUCCCCCACAUUGGAACUGAGACACGGUCCAA